Long non-coding RNA from Sceloporus undulatus (fence lizard), 3060 nucleotides. RefSeq lists it as uncharacterized. The transcript has 3 exons. The record is from RefSeq and is a predicted model, not a curated record. Lineage: Eukaryota; Metazoa; Chordata; Lepidosauria; Squamata; Phrynosomatidae.
GGAAGAGACCACAAGGGCCACCAGUUGAACCUGGCCAUGCAGGAACUCACAAUCAAAGCACUCCUGAAUCCAACAGUUGGCCAUCCAGCCUCUGUUUAAAAACCUCUGCUUUAUCAUCUCUUCUUCCAGUUAAAUGUACCCAGUUCCUUAAAUCAUUCCUCAUAGGAUUCAUGUGCUACAAAAGCAAUUUCAAAUGGAGAUGGACUUCUGAACCAACUUGUCCUGUGAGGGUGGAAGAAGCAGUAGAUAUAAUUUGAAGUAGAGAAAGAAACAAGAAGGAAAAGAGUAGGAAGAGAAGUGCAAUAGAGAUGAAAAUAAUUAUUCCAGCCUAGAAGAACAAACUCAGUAUAAAUCUGAGUACAACUGGAACCUGAAUAGGAUUUAAAAAAAUCCAAACAAAUCUAUAUGUUAUUUUAAUGAUGUACAUGUUUAUAUAAUGGAAUUUUAAACAAGCCCAUUUGAAUUUCUUGGAACAAAUGUUUGUAUCACUGGUAUCCACAAAAUCAGAGAAGAUGACUUCGCAUGAAGUAAUAUUGCAUCGUUUAUCUAUCAUUCUUAUGCAUGAAGGGAUUUUUAUGAUGCCAGUUGAAGCCUCUGGCAGCAAUUGGUCAGCUACUCCAAUGUAAUUGAAGCACAUGAUAAGAUUCAGGAAGCCCAGGAGAGAAGGAGAAAACAAGGGCUCUAUAUAGAAGAAACAGAAGUUCAGAAAAACAAGAGAAAAUGGGAUGGACCAGAAGUAUGCCUAGGCAAGCACUGAAGAGGAUAGCAGCUGAAUUGCAUUUGUGGUAUUACUGCUCUGGUUUAGACUAUAAAUGUAUAAGCAACAGCAAGAAUGAGUGGAGUAUUCCAUUCAGAGGGCCCAAGUAAAGUAAGAAAUAUAAUAACAUGAAACAUACCCAUGAGCUUAGUCAGGAAAGGAGUUGUAUCAAUUUGGAAGCGAUUUUAUGUGUACUGGUAAAUUUUCUUUAUGUUCCUUUCUUCCUCCUAAUCAGAGCUCAUGACAACUCCCAACAAUACAGUAAAAUCCUACAACUGUACCACAUAUAGCUAUGGUAAUACAGUAGUAGGACUAUUGCAUGGUGUAGUAGUGCCAUGAAAUCCACUGGGUGGCCUUGGGCAAGUCACAUGCAAAGGCAAACCUCUGAACAAAUCUUGUCAAGAAAACUCCAUGAUAUGUUCGUCUUGGGUUGCCAUGAGUCGGAAAUGACUUGAAGGCACAAAACAACAAUAACUUCUUCAAUGAUGACAUAACAAUUUCCUCAUGGCUAAAAUAAAUAUAAUGGUCCAGAACAGCCUAUUUCAACAAUCUUGUGAUUUUGGUAGAUUCUGCAUGGAUAAUAAUGUUUAGUAUAUUGAUGAGUAAAGGCAACAGUGCUAAAGGCAAGUUCUGCCUCUGCAGCAGAAAUUCAUUGACUUAAUCUACCUCCAUACAUAUCAGUAAGCAGUUCACACUAUUUGGAGACUAAUUAGCAAACAAUGAAAGAGUAGUCUUCUAAGUCAGUGGAAUUAAUGUAUGGAUCCCCUUUUAGUUUAAUUUCUUGUUAUUAAAUAAUGGCAGUUAAUAAAUUUGUAAGCAAGGGAAUUCCCCCUUGUACGUACCAGUACAACAUCUUAGUGGAGGAAAAAGAGAAGACCACUAGGAAAUGGAUUUGUAUCCUAUUCAAAAUUUCCAUGUCUGACACCCCCCCCCCCAAUUUUCUUGAUCUGGAUGUUCAGUAAUGGCAGCUCAUGAGCAACCCUCUCUCUGAUGCCUUCUUUCUGUCAAAGGAAUAAGGAUUCAUUAGCACUUCCAAGUCUAACUGGUUUAUUCUAGCAUAAGCUUUGAUGGACUUCAGCCCAUUUGAUCAAAUGCAUCAGAUGAACUGGACUGAAGCCCACAGAAGCUUAAGAUGGAAUAAAUGAGUUAAUCUAAAUAAUGCCACUUAUUUGAUUACUUUAUGCCCUUUUAUGCUGAAACAGACUACCAUAGAUAAUUUUUGCAUAUUUUCUAUCAAAGGCUAUUGCUAAUUGUUUCCAGCACUUUACUAAUGACCUACUAUUUAAAGAUCCCAAGGCUUUUGUUAUAGGAGUGGGAAACCUGUGGCCUCAGUCUAAUUAAGGUGAGGCAUCUCUCCUUUCUGUUCAGACACUGGUGAUUCAGAUUUUCUCCUUUGGCAGUCCAGUAGGUGAGGAGGGGCAGGGAGUGAUAGAGAGAAAAGGGAUGUCCCAAACCUAUGCCAGCACACAUACUAGGAAGCUCUCUAAGAAAAUGUGGCACUCACCCCAAACAAAUAUGCAUCUACAUCUUUCCCCUACUCCUAGUUUAGAACAUAGACAUGGAUAGAGAACAUUUCUCCUUCAUCUGUUAGAUACUAGUAUCACAGAUACUAGAGUGGGACCACGUAUUACAGUUAAUCAGUUUUUCCACAGUGAAAUUGGAUAGGACCUUGAUAUUACAUAUGUAAGAAGUAAAUGUAUCUGCCACAAUCCAGGGUGUGAAUCAAUCUCACUUUCUUCUAUCCAAAAACUAGAAACUUACACAGGGCUCAUACACACAGGAACAAAAGCAUCAGCUGAAAUGUGUUAUCUAAGAAAUUGUGGAGCACCAUUCUUGGAUAGUAUGAAAAUUGCAAUCCUUGCAUACUUUUUAGAUAACUGUUUUGUUGCGGGGGGUUUGAAUGAAAUUGUAUAUAAUUUAUUUAUAUGUAUGGUCCUGAAACUCCUUAGAUUAAGCUUUUCCCAGUAUGAAGGUAAAAUGAUAGAAAAAUCUUUAUCUGCUGAAUUCUGGCUGCCACGUAGCUGUGAAAGGCAAAAGAAUCCUGCUACAAAGAAAAAAUGAAUCCCUGGUCAGGGGCAUCAUUAGGGUGUGGGCCAUAUCAGGUGACACCGCUGGUCCCUAAACAUCUGUCUUUUGGCAGAAAUGGGCUGUGCUGUUCGCCUGCAUCCCUUUAAAACAAUGGAGCUCAGUAGAAGAGAUGGGGUAAGUGGGUAGCAAGGGGAGCCCUCAAGUUGUUUUAAAACAUUACAUUGUAACUUUUAAAUUUUAAUUUUAAAAUAUGGUUUUUUUAAAAAACAUUCUUU